This 300-nucleotide ribosomal RNA is filed under the name Triticum aestivum (bread wheat). RNAcentral describes it as "partial small subunit ribosomal RNA". The record is from RNAcentral. Lineage: Eukaryota; Viridiplantae; Streptophyta; Magnoliopsida; Poales; Poaceae.
AUGCCGCUCCCGUACAUGUACGAGACCUUCCCCGAGCUGCUACAGCCGGUGGGAUCUGUCUCAGACGAGAGCGUGAAGGAGUGGAAGGAAGUGAAGGCAAUGAUGGAGGCAGAUUCAAAUAUUGAUUUUGAAAAGAAGCAAUCAAUUAAACUUGAAACUCAUAAAACACAUGACCCUUCCGUCAUGGACCCUGGCGGUAAGGUCACACAACCUACCGCCAAGGCACUUCGAUAUUUCGUUACAGAAACUUCCCGAGGCAAAAAUCCAGCAACCACCUACCGUCAGGUGUUCUGGCGGUAG